Long non-coding RNA from Anolis carolinensis (green anole), 433 nucleotides. RefSeq lists it as uncharacterized. The record is from RefSeq and is a predicted model, not a curated record. The transcript is spliced from 2 exons. NCBI's taxonomy places the organism in Eukaryota, Metazoa, Chordata, Lepidosauria, Squamata, Anolidae.
AUAAACUCCAGUACCAUCGUAGAAGACAUCAUUGCAGUGGCUUCACCAAAAGACAUGCUCCUCUUAGUCCUCUGUUAGGCUUUUACCAUCACCAAAGCCACCAGAAAAAAUGUCACGAUGUAAGUGCAAGAAUGAAAGUACUAGAAGGCAUAAAAAGAGAAGGCCUUCUGGAUCUCAGAAGAGAGGAAAACGAGGGAGAAGCAGGAAAACAUCCAUAGCUCAUACCGUGUACUACUACAGGAAGGUAAAAUAGCCUCUGCUGGUGUUCCUGUCUAACAUGAAGCAGCUUUGGAAAUGUCAGAUGUCACCAAUGCAAUGAUUUCUGUCAAGUGAAUGAACAACAGUUCCAGCCAAGCCAGAUGGGGUGACCUUCCAAGAUGCUGAACACCUCCAAAGAGGAGCAGUCUUUCAAUAAACCUGAAGCUGCAGUGUC